GUAAGGAAUAUUGGUCAAUGGGCGCAAGCCUGAACCAGCAACGCCGCGUGGAGGAAGAAGGGUUUCGGCUCGUAAACUCCUUUUAGGUGGGACGAGACAGGACGGUACCACCUGAAUAAGUCUCGGCUAACUACGUGCCAGCAGCCGCGGUAAAACGUAGGAGACGAGCGUUAUCCGGAUUUACUGGGCGUAAAGCGCGUGCAGGCGGUUAGAUAAGUCACUUGUGAAAGCACCCGGCUCAACUGGGUGAGGCCAGGUGAGACUGUCUAACUUGAGAGAGGUAGAGGCGAAUGGAAUUCCGGGUGGAGUGGUGAAAUGCGUAGAGAUCCGGAGGAACACCAGUGGCGAAGGCGAUUCGCUGGGCCUACUCUGACGCUCAGACGCGACAGCAUGGGGAGCGAACGGGAUUAGAAACCCUAGUAGUCC
RNAcentral lists this ribosomal RNA (426 nucleotides) under uncultured bacterium. RNAcentral's name for it is "bacterial SSU rRNA". It matches the Rfam family "Bacterial small subunit ribosomal RNA", at positions 354 to 796 of the family's 1533-position model. The record is from RNAcentral.